CCUUUGCCCGCGAAUUCAGGUGCCCAAUGCCCGCCUCAGCGCUGGCCCGACGGCUUAAUAGGGAACACCGGACGCCCAUUUUUCGGGUUGAAACCGGGACUGUCCCCGCAACUGUACUGCUCGCGUAACGAGCCGGUUCUUGCUACAUCGCCACUGAUCGACCCGAUCGGGAAGGCGCGAACCGGUGAGCAAAGUCAGGAGACCUGCCUGCAAUUCGCCGCUCUG
Molecule: non-coding RNA, 225 nt
Filed under: Fibrella aestuarina
Lineage: Bacteria; Pseudomonadati; Bacteroidota; Cytophagia; Cytophagales; Spirosomataceae
Source: RNAcentral